AGUGAACGCUGGCGGUAGGCCUAACACAUGCAAGCCGAACGGCAGCACAGUAAGAGCUUGCUCUUACGGGUGGCGAGUGGCGGACGGGUGAGGAAUACAUCGGAAUCUACUUUUUCGUGGGGGAUAACGUAGGGAAACUUACGCUGAUACCGCAUACGACCUACGGGUGAAAGCAGGGGAUCUUCGGACCUUGCGCGAUUGAAUGAGCCGAUGUCGGAUUAGCUAGUUGGCGGGGUAAAGGCCCACCAAGGCGACGAUCCGUAGCUGGUCUGAGAGGAUGAUCAGCCACACUGGAACUGAGACACGGUCCAGACUCCUACGGGAGGCAGCAGUGGGGAAUAUUGGACAAUGGGCGCAAGCCUGAUCCAGCCAUACCGCGUGGGUGAAGAAGGCCUUCGGGUUGUAAAGCCCUUUUGUUGGGAAAGAAAAGCAGCAGGUUAAUACCCCGCUGUUCUGACGGUACCCAAAGAAUAAGCACCGGCUAACUUCGUG
This 492-nucleotide ribosomal RNA is filed under the name uncultured bacterium. RNAcentral describes it as "partial 16S ribosomal RNA". It matches the Rfam family "Bacterial small subunit ribosomal RNA", at positions 29 to 507 of the family's 1533-position model. The record is from RNAcentral.